GCGAAAGCCUGAUGCAGCGACGCCGCGUGAGGGAUGAAGGCCUUCGGGUCGUAAACCUCUGUCAGGAGGGAAGAACCGCCAUGGUGCUAAUCAGCCAUGGUCUGACGGUACCUCCAAAGGAAGCACCGGCUAACUCCGUGCCAGCAGCCGCGGUAAUACGGAGGGUGCAAGCGUUACUCGGAAUCACUGGGCGUAAAGAGCACGUAGGCGGCCUUGCAAGUCAGAUGUGAAAUCCAACGGCUUAACCGUUGAACUGCAUUUGAAACUGCAAGGCUAGAGUAUGGGAGAGGUAGGUGGAAUUCUCGGUGUAGGGGUAAAAUCCGUAGAGAUCGAGAGGAAUACUCAUUGCGAAGGCGACCUGCUGGAACAUUACUGACGCUGAGGUGCGAAAGCGUGGGGAGCAAACA
RNAcentral lists this ribosomal RNA (407 nucleotides) under uncultured Wolinella sp. RNAcentral's name for it is "bacterial SSU rRNA". It matches the Rfam family "Bacterial small subunit ribosomal RNA", at positions 375 to 774 of the family's 1533-position model. Lineage: Bacteria; Pseudomonadati; Campylobacterota; Epsilonproteobacteria; Campylobacterales; Helicobacteraceae. The record is from RNAcentral.